This 552-nucleotide ribosomal RNA is filed under the name Penicillium biourgeianum. Its description in RNAcentral is "eukaryotic LSU rRNA". Lineage: Eukaryota; Fungi; Ascomycota; Eurotiomycetes; Eurotiales; Aspergillaceae. The record is from RNAcentral.
UGGCUUCGGCUGAGGGCUCUGGGUCCACCUCCCACCCGUGUUUAUUUACCUUGUUGCUUCGGCGAGCCUGCCUUUUGGCUGCCGGGGGACGUCAGUCCCCGGGUCCGUGCUCGCCGGAGACACCUUAGAACUCUGUCUGAAGAUUGUAGUCUGAGAUUAAAUAUAAAUUAUUUAAAACUUUCAACAACGGAUCUCUUGGUUCCGGCAUCGAUGAAGAACGCAGCGAAAUGCGAUACGUAAUGUGAAUUGCAGAAUUCAGUGAAUCAUCGAGUCUUUGAACGCACAUUGCGCCCUCUGGUAUUCCGGAGGGCAUGCCUGUCCGAGCGUCAUUGCUGCCCUCAAGCACGGCUUGUGUGUUGGGCCCCGUCCUCCUUCCGGGGGACGGGUCCGAAAGGCAGCGGCGGCACCGCGUCCGGUCCUCAAGCGUAUGGGGCUUUGUCACUCGCUUUGUAGGCCUGGCCGGCGCUUGCCGAUCAACCAAACUUUUUAUCAGGUUGACCUCGGAUCAGGUAGGGAUACCCGCUGAACUUAAGCAUAUCAAUAAGCGGARGA